CUUUCAGAAUAUUGCAAAAAAUUCCAGUUUUUGCAUUUUUUUUUUUUUUUUUUCUUUUCAUGGAGUUUCUUUCCUAAAGGGCGAUGUGCAAAAACGGGAAGCAGCGGGGGGAGAGGGGCUGCGGCGGCUGACAGAAGUCCUCGAUUCCCCCGAACAUCCGUACAAAACGCCAAGCGAAUGCAGCUUUCGCUUUGGAAAAGCAGAGUAGUUCAAGGCAUAAGUCGAGAUACAA
Molecule: long non-coding RNA, 232 nt
Organism: Oxyura jamaicensis (ruddy duck)
Lineage: Eukaryota; Metazoa; Chordata; Aves; Anseriformes; Anatidae
Exons: 2
Source: RefSeq, a predicted model, not a curated record